RNAcentral lists this ribosomal RNA (492 nucleotides) under uncultured bacterium. RNAcentral describes it as "partial 16S ribosomal RNA". It matches the Rfam family "Bacterial small subunit ribosomal RNA", at positions 29 to 507 of the family's 1533-position model. The record is from RNAcentral.
AGCGAACGCUGGCGGUAUGCUUAACACAUGCAAGUCGAACGGCAGCACAGUAAGAGCUUGCUCUUACGGGAGGUGAGUGGUGGACGUGUUAGGAAUCCGUCGGAAUAUACUUUUUCAAGGUAGCUAACGUAGGGAAAUUUCCGCUGAUAACGCAGACGACCUCCGUGUGAAAGCUGCGGAAGUUCUGAUAUGACUGUAAAGACUGCGCCGAUGUCGGAUUAGCUCGUGUGCGGGGAACAAGCUCACGAAGGAGCCGAUCCGUAGCGCGUCUGAGAGGAUGGACAGCCACACUGGAAGUGAGACAGGGUCCAGACUCCUACGGGAGGCAGCAGUGGGGAAUAUUGGGCAAUGGGGGAAAGCCUGAUACAGCCAUACCGCGUGAGUGAAGAAGGCCCUCGGGUUGUAAAGCCCUUUUGUUGGGAAAGAAGAGCAGCAGGUUAAUACCCCGCUGUUCUGACGGUACCCAAAGAGUAAGCACCGGCUAACUUCGUG